ACAUCCACUGAGUGCUGUCUGCGUGUGUCACGCUCUGUGUGCUGUGGAUAUUAACUGUUUUACCGCCUUUAACUUGCAGAACACAGAGACGUGUAGGUAACAGCCUGGUCCUCAUUCCGCCGACGAGGAAGCAGAGUCAUCUAGCCUGUAGGUAGAAAACGUGUCAGACAUAGUCUCUAUCCCACGUCUAAGCUGACAAGAGUCCCACAGAAGGCCCUCCAUUGACCAGUUCCAGCACCUCCAAGUCCCACAGAAGGCCCUCCACUGACCAGUUCCAGCACCUCCAAAGUCCCCGAGGUCAAGGCUCUGUCUCCAGCUGCAAAGUCAAUGCCUGAACUCUGUCGGCCAUGCACACCUCGUGUUUCCCGGAACUUUCGAGAUUAUGUUAAACUGAGUGGCGAUAAGGGAUGCCCUUGAUUUCUGGUCUGGAAGAGAUUGCGUCUUAGAUUUUUCUGUGAAGUCUGAUGUUUCCUGGGAGUUUCUGGAAAGCUGCGUGGGCCCUCCAGGCCCCUGGAGACAUGAGGAUCUGCACCCACGCAGGUGACAUGGCUGCCUUCUAGCCGCCAAGGGUGGGGUCACCACUGCACUGACACAGAUGGCCCAUCCCCACCCCAGCUACUGUGCGGCACCUCAGCUCUGCAGAAAUCACCCGCAGGCACACAGACAGAACUGCCCCUACUGCAGAUGCCAGUUGCAAGGAAGAGGAAGAGUGACAUCGGCCGCGCCCCCAGCCUGUGCCCAGAAAAGGCCAUGUGAGGACACAGCCAGGGACAGUGUCUGCAGCCUGGGAAGCUGCCCUCUCCAGGAGCCGAGCCGCCGGAGCCUUGAUCCUGGACUUCCGGCCUCCGGAACUAUAAGGAAUAGUCUGUUGCUGCAGCUGCCUGUCUGCGGGUUCUGUGGGGGCAGCCCACGCUGUCUGAGACAGGCCCCCUCCGAGUCCUGGCACCCUCCCCACCCCCAGCAUGCGGGCCGGGCCUCGGGUGCUCACUGCCCCACCUUUGCUUCUGCUGACCCUCUUUGCUCCUCCCCAGCCACUGGGCAGGUCCUGACUCCUCUCCCAAGGUCCAGUGUGAAGCCGUCGCCUCUUCUGAGCUUUCACAGCCCUCAGGGAGCAAAGCCCUUACGGGGUCUGAGCUCUGAGGCCCGUGCCCAUCUUCCCUCCAAACCUUGCCUGAAAAACAGGAAAAUACUAGAACCUCUACACAGGGCUGGGGGUGCGGGACUGUGAUAAAGCCCCUGAAGGGCUCUCAUGCCCAUCCUGGAAAGAUCCAUGCUGCUCCUGGGGAGGCCAGGCUCCCGGAGAGCAGGGACAGUGACUGAGACAGCCCGGGUAUGGUGCUCUGGAAUCCUGCUGGGAACAGCUGCCUCCAGCACAUGGUGGGAGGUGCAUGGUGGAGGCCGACCUGGGCGGGGGCUGGAGAGUGGAACAGGUCGGCUUCCCUCUGCAGGGACCUCUGGGGGCUGGGACUGUACCUCUUUUCUCUGCCUUUGUGUCUCCAGUGCUCUGCAAUGGCCAGGCACCCUGUGC
Molecule: long non-coding RNA, 1528 nt
Organism: Rhinopithecus roxellana (golden snub-nosed monkey)
Lineage: Eukaryota; Metazoa; Chordata; Mammalia; Primates; Cercopithecidae
Exons: 5
Source: RefSeq, a predicted model, not a curated record